CUACGGGGCGCUCCAGUGAGGAAUAUUGGACAAUGGGCGAAAGCCUGAUCCAGCAAUACCACGUGAGUGAUGAAGGCCCUCGGGUUGUAAAGCUCUUUUAAUGGGAAAGAUAAUGACGGUACCCAUAGAAAAAGCACCGGCUAAUUCCGUGCCAGCAGCCGCGGUAAUACGGAAGGUGCUAGCGUUGUUCGGAUUUAUUGGGCGUAAAGCGUACGUAGGCGGUUUAGUGUGUUAGAUGUGAAAUCCCGAGGCUUAACCUUGGAAUUGCAUUUAAAACUGCAAGACUUGAGCAUAACAUAGGAUGGUGGAAUUUCUAGUGUAGGGGUGAAAUCCGUAGAUAUUAGAAGGAACACCAGUAGUGAAGACGGCCAUCUUGGUUAUAGCUGACACUAAGGUACGAAAGCGUGGGUAGCAAACAGGAUUAGAUACCCCCGUAGUC
RNAcentral lists this ribosomal RNA (439 nucleotides) under uncultured bacterium. RNAcentral's name for it is "partial 16S ribosomal RNA". It matches the Rfam family "Bacterial small subunit ribosomal RNA", at positions 339 to 795 of the family's 1533-position model. The record is from RNAcentral.